RNAcentral lists this antisense RNA (75 nucleotides) under Streptomyces albus subsp. albus DSM 41398. RNAcentral describes it as "ASpks TB sRNA". It matches the Rfam family "ASpks TB sRNA". Lineage: Bacteria; Bacillati; Actinomycetota; Actinomycetes; Kitasatosporales; Streptomycetaceae. The record is from Rfam by way of RNAcentral.
CUUCACCGAGCCGAGCCAGAGCGGGCGCCCCUCCGGGCGGCUGCCGCCGUAGGUGGCGAGCAGGGCCUGCGCCUC